This 122-nucleotide small RNA is filed under the name Rhizobium sp. Leaf371. Its description in RNAcentral is "Alphaproteobacterial ar14". It matches the Rfam family "Alphaproteobacterial ar14". Rfam says of the family: Smr14C2 was renamed NfeR1 (Nodule Formation Efficiency RNA) highly expressed in salt stress and during the symbiotic interaction on legume roots. Lineage: Bacteria; Pseudomonadati; Pseudomonadota; Alphaproteobacteria; Hyphomicrobiales; Rhizobiaceae. The record is from Rfam by way of RNAcentral.
AUGAUCUUGACGCUCCCAUCCUCCUCCCGGGAUCGUCAGUGUUGGUUGCAGCUUCUUCUCCUCCCGAGCUGCCAACCGGAAUUGAGAGCCUGCUGCACCUCCUCCCGCAGCAGGCUCUUUUC